UAGGGAAUCUUCCGCAAUGGGCGAAAGCCUGACGGAGCAACGCCGCGUGAGUGAUGAAGGUCUUCGGAUCGUAAAACUCUGUUAUUAGGGAAGAACAAAUGUGUAAGUAACUAUGCACGUCUUGACGGUACCUAAUCAGAAAGCCACGGCUAACUACGUGCCAGCAGCCGCGGUAAUACGUAGGUGGCAAGCGUUAUCCGGAAUUAUUGGGCGUAAAGCGCGCGUAGGUGGUUUUUUAAGUCUGAUGUGAAAGCCCACGGCUCAACCGUGGAGGGUCAUUGGAAACUGGAAAACUUGAGUGCAGAAGAGGAAAGUGGAAUUCCAUGUGUAGCGGUGAAAUGCGCAGAGAUAUGGAGGAACACCAGUGGCGAAGGCGACUUUCUGGUCUGUAACUGACGCUGAUGUGCGAAAGCGUGGGGAUCAAACAGG
This 429-nucleotide ribosomal RNA is filed under the name Pseudomonas sp. Its description in RNAcentral is "partial 16S ribosomal RNA". It matches the Rfam family "Bacterial small subunit ribosomal RNA", at positions 355 to 776 of the family's 1533-position model. The record is from RNAcentral. RNAcentral also lists the same sequence under 1 other name. Lineage: Bacteria; Pseudomonadati; Pseudomonadota; Gammaproteobacteria; Pseudomonadales; Pseudomonadaceae.